UACGGGGGGGGCAAGCGUUGUUCGGAAUUACUGGGCGUAAAGCGCGCGUAGGCGGGUGGGCAAGUCUGGCGUGAAAGACCGAGGCUCAACCUCGGAAUUGCCGGCGAUACUGUCUGUCUUGAGUCCGGGAGAGGGGAGUGGAAUUCCCAGUGUAGCGGUGAAAUUCGUAGAUAUUGGGAAGAACACCAGUGGCGAAGGCGGCUCACUGGCCCGGUACUGACGCUGAGGCGCGAAAGCUUGGGGAGCAAACAGG
This 253-nucleotide ribosomal RNA is filed under the name uncultured bacterium. Its description in RNAcentral is "partial 16S ribosomal RNA". It matches the Rfam family "Bacterial small subunit ribosomal RNA", at positions 524 to 776 of the family's 1533-position model. The record is from RNAcentral.